Long non-coding RNA from Topomyia yanbarensis, 4025 nucleotides. RefSeq lists it as uncharacterized. The transcript is spliced from 5 exons. The record is from RefSeq and is a predicted model, not a curated record. NCBI's taxonomy places the organism in Eukaryota, Metazoa, Arthropoda, Insecta, Diptera, Culicidae.
AAGAGGCAUCAACAACCAAACAUUCUAAGAUGGUAAUAUUGACGGACUCUCAAUCAGCAUGUUGGUACCUGAUCAACCAGGCCAAUCUGGAAAGUGUGGAUCAGAUCUCAUAUGAAAUAUUUAAAAACAUGUCAAAAAAACAUAUAAGCCUGCAAUGGAUCCCUGCACACGUGGGCGUCGAAGGCAAUGAACGGGCGGAUGAAUUAGCCAAGCUUGGCUUAAACAAUCCAGCCGUAGUACGGAAUAAAUUACUUUGGCACGACUUGGUUUGCGAGUUUAGAACACAACUAAAUAUAAGCACGAAUGACUGGUACAGAAGAAUCACUCUCGAAGACGGAAAAGGUCGGAAAUUCUUUGAAAUAGUGGAGAACUACCCGGAAAAACCAUGGUACUGGAACUAUCAGUUGAACGGAAAAGACAUAAGGCUUCUUAAUAGAAUAAUAGCGGGACACGACUACUCAAACUUUUGGCUAGCAAAACUCAAACUCCAAGAGUCAGAAGAAUGUGAUAUAUGCGAAGAGCUGGAUACAACCGAACAUGCCCUACUUUGGUGCAUUAAAUACGGGCACGUAAGAAAUCAUUUUGACUGGGAAAUAUACCGGAACCUGAAGGAAUUAAUGGGAGAGCUAGAAGAAGAAAAACUGAAGGAAAUAGUGAAAUUUUUGAAGAUGGCCAGAUUGAAACCAUAAACAAGAUACGUCAAAAAUUACCAGAAGGCAGCAACUGGCGGAUAUGAGGCAACACAGUCCCUCAAGUCAUAAACGUCAAAACGCAACAACAACAACAACAACAGUGGUAUUAUUCCGCUCGGAGGCUUGCGAAAUUUUGACAGAAUGCGAUAAAAAAAUACAAAAAAAAACAAGAUUUGUGAAUUUUUUGUAUUUUUUCAUCACAAGCUGUCAACAUGUAUAGAAUUUGCUUUUGCGAUGCAAUCGGUCGAAACGAUGGCAAGUGCUGCUGAUAACUGAGUCAAAAAGGCAGAGGAUCAGGAAAUUUAUGCUCUCGUAGCGAUCCGAGUAUCACCAAGGAUAAGAAACCGGAGCCGGCGGUUGGCAGUCCGGAAAAAGAGGAUGCGGAAAAACCUAGUCCAUCGGCAGUAGAACCAGCGACGGUUACUCCCGUAGAAACGGCUGAUCCUGCAGUUUUGAGUUCGUUAAUUAUGGAAAUUCUGACUGGCUGCUCCUGAAGAAAGACAAGCUGCUAGUGGAAAUAGAAAAACAGCUUCCUACACGGAAGAUGCAGAUGCAUUCAACCCGGAGGAUGCAAAAAAACUUUCGAAGCUUUGCACAUGAAGCCGGAACUGCUUCAGGGAGUCUAUGCUAUGGAUUCCAACGCCCCUUCCAAGAUUCAGGAAACGGCUCUACCUACUCUGUUGGCCGAUCCGCCCAGCACAUGAUCGCCCAGUCAGUCAGAAACAAGAGAAACCGCUGCUUUCGCGCGGACAAUGCUCAGUCGAGUCGAUCCGUUAAAAAAACUAUCCGCAGGUGUUUUGCCUUUCCCUUACGUAUGAACUGGCAAAUCAGAAGGGGGUAGCAGUUGCCAAAAUUAAAAAGUUAUGUCCGGAAAUCAAAUUUAGUUACCUCAUCCGCGGCGAGGAGAUUGUCAAAGGGGCGAAGCUGAUUAAUCAUAUCAUCAUCGAAACACCCGGUAAGCUGAUGGACUGGAAUAUAAAAUUCAGGCGUUCGACCUUGAGAAAUUGCCGUUUGUGUACUAAACGAAGCGGGCGUUAUGAUCGCUGUUCUUGGCCACGUACGAGCGGGAGGUAAUGGAGUUCGCCGAGUACAUCUUACCCGAUCCGAUCGUGAUUCAGCUAGCGCGGGAGCAAGAAUCACUAGAUAACAUCAAACAGCACUACAAUAAGUACCGCAACCAGGACGAGAAAUAUCAAGCAAUUUCGAUCAUCUUUGGCGUGAUUACCAUCGGAUAUGCGAUCAUUUUCUGUCGUGUGAGUAUAGGACAGUUGUGAUUGGCAUUGUUAAUCGAUGGAAACAGACACGCAAAACGGCCGAUAGGAUGGUCAUUCGGUAGCGGUACUGUCCGGUGAUUUAACGGUGGAGCAAUGGUUUGCCGGUCUGAAUCGAUUCCGAGCCGGACUAAAGAAGGUAUUGAUUACAACGAACGUUUUGUCUUGGGGUAUCGAUGUCGAACAGGUGACCAUUGUAAACUUCAUCCUGUCGAUGGAUCAGUAGAGACGAGCCGAUGGCGAAACGUAUCUGCAUCGAAUUGGACGCACCGGUAAAUUCUGUAAGUGCGACUCAUUCUUGUGAUUCUAUAGAUUGUAUUUCUUCCCUCUUCUUUAACAGGCAUCGCCAUCAACCUGGUGGGCAGUGAUCGAAGCAUGAUGAUUUGCAGAUCAUUCGAAAAACACUUCCAGAAAAAGAUUCAGCUGCUAGACGCGGAGAAUUCGGACGUUAUUGAAAAGAUCGGAUCGUAGUGUUUUCGACCAGCUACUGGUGAAAGGCGCUGGAGCUUUUUUGGUUCAUUAUUGUUCCGAUUGUGAAUCUAUAACUUUAUUUAGCUCUAUCAGUUGAUUUCCUUAGGAUUAGUUCAAGGAUCGGUAACGCGAGGAUUGUGAAGUGCAUGUUUAAUUGUUAUAACUUGGAGUUAAGUGAACCACAGAUAACAGACGUUUAAGCUCGAUUUGAAUCGUGUAUAAAAGCCCGCUACUGAAAUUCCGAAUAAAUUAGACGUCUGAAACACGUUUGGCAAACGUUUGCAGAUGACGCAGUGAUCAAUACAAUGCAGUUAGAGUGCAGCUGUUAAACACGUGUAGCAAACAGUUGCGCAGAUGGCAAUAGUGAAACACGGAUUUCCAACGUUUAUCAAUUUGAAAGUUUACACAGGUUUUUGAAGAAAUUUUGUUCUAGCCUAAACGUCUGUUAUCUGUGGGUAAACUCUUGAAGAAAACGACUUUGUUUUUUUAUUUUGUCGUUGGACGGCCAGUAGAGUGAAGUGGCAAGAAUUUUUCCAAAACACCUUGAAGAAGAAGAUGAAAAAUAUUUUGUUCAAUACCAUGUAAAUAAAUAUUUCAAGAAGAUAGAACAGACAGCUAUAAAACAGCAAAAAAAUCUAAAAGAAAUUAUAUAUGCUUCGAAGCGAUUUUCAUCGUUGGCGCCGUUUCCGUCGUCGUCAUCCUCAGUAAGUUGUUCCUUCUUAACAUCGAGUUCCACCAAUUGCGAUAGAUCGUCUUGUGUCAUCUCCUUUUGAUAGCCCAAGAACGAAUCACUCUUAUCCUGUUCCUGCUCAUGCUCCUUUCCACGAUCCUCGAGUGUAUCGAAACGACCGGCGAUGACAACAAACACUUUACACUUGGUGCACUUCCAUGCAAUUCGCCCUCGCUGAUCAACCGAUCCGAUGGGUACCGGUAGCAACUGUGCACGACAAACAGCUGACCCCGCUUGCCCGGAAUCAGUUUGUAAGCAAUCUGUUCGGCUUGCUUUUGCGUCCAACAUCUAACCUUCAAUGAUGGUUUUAUUUUCGCAGUCGUCCUGCGUGAAAAAAUUCAACCCUAAUUAUUUUUCUCACGUGUAAAUUUAAAACGACUUACCCCUCAGGCGCAUGGUUAUGUGCCCAUUUGCUAUUUAUUUAGUUAUUCAUUUACUAAUUUGUAUAUUUUUACAUUUGUUCUUUCAUUGUUGUGGGUGAAUGGAGAACAGUGAGUCUAGUUAUGUAAGGAAUGCAAACUAGGCUUGAUGGAACCUUGCCAGUCCUGGAUAUCACACACAUUUGGAGCAACAUCAGAUGUUUUUCAAGCCGUUCUCAACUCCUAUACGGCAGUUUUCACGCCGCCACCCGCGUAACGGCUUGAUAGUUGAUAUUCGAGCUUGUAGAACCAUUUGGGCGUACCAUAUAUGAGCUCCGACGGAAAUUGAGGAUGAAAUAGAUCUCUUCUAUGAGACAGUCGUCCGACGGUGUCGAAAUGCCGCAAGAGAUGAGCAGCGGUAAACUAGUUAUUCAAGAUGGGAAUGAGACACUUAAUUACCACCAUUGAAAUGAAAUCUGUUAGUAGCACUAACAAACAUCUA